CCUUCCGAGCCUCCAGCACCACGUGUCUGGGUCACGUGAGCAGGCCCACGUGGUCCUGAUGUGGUGUUGGGGCCGCAGGGCUC
Molecule: non-coding RNA, 83 nt
Organism: Erinaceus europaeus (western European hedgehog)
Lineage: Eukaryota; Metazoa; Chordata; Mammalia; Eulipotyphla; Erinaceidae
Source: Rfam